GAUGAAGAACGCAGCAAAAUGCGAUAAGUAAUGUGAAUUGCAGAAUUCAGUGAAUCAUCGAAUCUUUGAACGCACAUUGCGCCCGCCAGUAUUCUGGCGGGCAUGCCUGUUCGAGCGUCAUUUCAACCCUCAAGCACAGCUUGGUGUUGGGACUCGCGUUAAUUCGCGUUCCCCAAAUUGAUUGGCGGUCACGUCGAGCUUCCAUAGCGUAGUAGUAAAACCCUCGUUACUGGUAAUCGUCGCGGCCACGCCGUUAAACCCCAACUUCUGAAUGUUGACCUCGGAUCAGGUAGGAAUACCCGCUGAACUUAAGCAUAUCAAUAAUCGGAGGA
Molecule: unclassified non-coding RNA, 332 nt
Filed under: soil metagenome
Description: partial contains 5.8S ribosomal RNA, internal transcribed spacer 2, and large subunit ribosomal RNA
Rfam family: 5.8S ribosomal RNA (bases 1-120)
Source: RNAcentral